This 31-nucleotide non-coding RNA is filed under the name Mus musculus (house mouse). Lineage: Eukaryota; Metazoa; Chordata; Mammalia; Rodentia; Muridae. The record is from RNAcentral.
UAGCUAGUGAUGGACACCUGAUGCCCAAAGA